GACGAACGCUGGCGGCACGCCUAACACAUGCAAGUCGAACGGAGAAUUUUGAGUUUACUUGAAAUUCUUAGUGGCGGACGGGUGAGUAACACGUGAGCAACCUGCCUCUGAGAGAGGGAUAGCUUCUGGAAACGGAUGGUAAUACCUCAUAACGUAUACUUAAGGCAUCUUAGGUAUACCAAAGAUUUAUUGCUGAAGGAUGGGCUCAUGUCUGAUUAGCUAGUUGGUGAGGUAACGGCUCACCAAGGCGACGAUCAGUAGCCGGUCUGAGAGGAUGAACGGCCACAUUGGGACUGAGAUACGGCCCAGACUCCUACGGGAGGCAGCAGUGGGGAAUAUUGGGCAAUGGGGGGAAACCCGUGACCCAGCAAUGCCGCGUGAAGGAAGAA
RNAcentral lists this ribosomal RNA (389 nucleotides) under uncultured bacterium. Its description in RNAcentral is "bacterial SSU rRNA". It matches the Rfam family "Bacterial small subunit ribosomal RNA", at positions 28 to 412 of the family's 1533-position model. The record is from RNAcentral.